RNAcentral lists this small RNA (146 nucleotides) under Arabidopsis thaliana (thale cress). Its description in RNAcentral is "ATSL053450". The record is from RNAcentral. Lineage: Eukaryota; Viridiplantae; Streptophyta; Magnoliopsida; Brassicales; Brassicaceae.
AAGAAAAAGAUCUCCUAAAAACAUAAUAAUUUCAAAAUGGUUUACAUCCUACUAUAUUAUUUGGGAAGUACAUUUUAAAAAUAACCUUGAUUUUGUAAAUUAAUUACAUAUCAAUGCCAUUGGAAAAAUCAAUUCAACCUUAUUUU